CGCGGGGUGGAGCAGCCAGGAAGCUCGUCGGGCUCAUAACCCGAAGGUCACAGGUUCGAAUCCUGUCCCCGCAACCA
RNAcentral lists this transfer RNA (77 nucleotides) under Synergistaceae bacterium. Its description in RNAcentral is "tRNA-Met". It matches the Rfam family "tRNA". Rfam says of the family: Transfer RNA (tRNA) molecules are approximately 80 nucleotides in length. Their secondary structure includes four short double-helical elements and three loops (D, anti-codon, and T loops). Further hydrogen bonds mediate the characteristic L-shaped molecular structure. tRNAs have two regions of fundamental functional importance: the anti-codon, which is responsible for specific mRNA codon recognition, and the 3' end, to which the tRNAs corresponding amino acid is attached (by aminoacyl-tRNA synthetases). tRNAs cope with the degeneracy of the genetic code in two manners: having more than one tRNA (with a specific anti-codon) for a particular amino acid; and 'wobble' base-pairing, i.e. permitting non-standard base-pairing at the 3rd anti-codon position. Lineage: Bacteria; Thermotogati; Synergistota; Synergistia; Synergistales; Synergistaceae. The record is from RNAcentral.